Molecule: ribosomal RNA, 497 nt
Filed under: uncultured bacterium
Lineage: Bacteria
Description: partial 16S ribosomal RNA
Rfam family: Bacterial small subunit ribosomal RNA
Source: RNAcentral
GACGAACGCUGGCGGCGUGCCUAAUACAUGCCAGUCGAGCGGACGGAUGGGAGCUUGCUCCCAGACCGUCAGCGGCGGACGGGUGAGUAACACGUGGGCAACCUGCCUGUAAGACUGGAUAACUCCGGGAAACCGGGGCUAAUACCGGAUAACUCUUUCCCUCACAUGAGGGAAAGCUGAAAGAUGGCAUCUCGCUAUCACUUACAGAUGGGCCCGCGGCGCAUUAGCUAGUUGGUGAGGUAACGGCUCACCAAGGCGACGAUGCGUAGCCGACCUGAGAGGGUGAUCGGCCACACUGGGACUGAGACACGGCCCAGACUCCUACGGGAGGCAGCAGUAGGGAAUCUUCCGCAAUGGACGAAAGUCUGACGGAGCAACGCCGCGUGAGUGAUGAAGGUUUUCGGAUCGUAAAACUCUGUUGUCAGGGAAGAACAAGUACCGGAGUAACUGCCGGUACCUUGACGGUACCUGACCAGAAAGCCACGGCUAACUACGUG